This 256-nucleotide unclassified non-coding RNA is filed under the name uncultured fungus. Its description in RNAcentral is "sequence contains ITS1, 5.8S rRNA gene". The stretch from base 208 to 256 matches the Rfam family "5.8S ribosomal RNA", at positions 1 to 49 of the family's 154-position model. Lineage: Eukaryota; Fungi. The record is from RNAcentral.
UCUCCGUUGGUGAACCAGCGGAGGGAUCAUUACAGAGUUAUCUAACUCCCAAACCCAUGUGAACUUACCUUUGUUGCCUCGGCAGUAGUUGCUGGGCGAGCCUACCCGGGAACGAGCUACCCUGUAGCGACCUACCCUGUAGCCGCCGGCGGACCAAUAAACUCUUGUUAUUCUAUGGAUAUCUGAGCGUCUUAUUUAAUAAGUUAAAACUUUCAACAACGGAUCUCUUGGUUCUGGCAUCGAUGAAGAACGCAGC